This 443-nucleotide ribosomal RNA is filed under the name uncultured bacterium. Its description in RNAcentral is "bacterial SSU rRNA". It matches the Rfam family "Bacterial small subunit ribosomal RNA", at positions 337 to 796 of the family's 1533-position model. The record is from RNAcentral.
GCCUACGGGUGGCUGCAGCAGGGAAUCUUGCACAAUGGGCGAAAGCCUGAUGCAGCGACGCCGCGUGGGGGAUGAAGGCCCUAGGGUCGUAAACCCCUUUCAGCAGGGACGAAGAUGACGGUACCUGCAGAAGAAGCCCCGGCCAACUACGUGCCAGCAGCCGCGGUAAGACGUAGGGGGCGAGCGUUGUCCGGAUUUAUUGGGCGUAAAGAGCUCGUAGGCGGUUGCGUAAGUCGGAUGUGAAAACUCAGGGCUCAACCCUGAGACGCCAUCCGAUACUGCGCUGACUCGAAUCCAGUAGGGGAGUGUGGAAUUCCUGGUGUAGCGGUGAAAUGCGCAGAUAUCAGGAGGAACACCCAUGGCGAAGGCAGCACUCUGGGCUGGUAUUGACGCUGAGGAGCGAAAGCAUGGGUAGCGAACAGGAUUAGAUACCCGUGUAGUCG